Molecule: ribosomal RNA, 434 nt
Filed under: uncultured Rhodocista sp.
Lineage: Bacteria; Pseudomonadati; Pseudomonadota; Alphaproteobacteria; Rhodospirillales; Azospirillaceae
Description: partial 16S ribosomal RNA
Rfam family: Bacterial small subunit ribosomal RNA
Source: RNAcentral
ACGGAAGGCAGCAGUGGGGAAUAUUGGACAAUGGGGGAGACCCUGAUCCAGCCAUGCCGCGUGAGUGAUGAAGGCCUUCGGGUUGUAAAGCUCUUUUACAUAGGAAAAUAAUGAUGGUACUAUGAGAAUAAGCACCGGCUAACUUCGUGCCAGCAGCCGCGGUAAUACGAAGGGUGCAAGCGUUGUUCGGAAUUACUGGGUGUAAAGGGCGUGUAGGCGGAAUGUCAAGUCAGUGGUGAAAUCCCUAGGCUCAACCUGGGAACUGCCAUUGAUACUGAUGAUCUAGAGUGAUAGAGAGGAUGACGGAAUAUCCAGUGUAGAGGUGAAAUGCGUAGAUAUUGGAUAGAACACCGGUGGCGAAAGCGGUUAGCUGGCUAGUAACUGACGCUGAGGCGCGAGAGCGUGGGGAGCAAACAGGAUUAGAUACCCUGGUA